GAGUUUGAUCGUGGCUCAGGAUGAACGCCGGCGGUGUGCCUAAUACAUGCAAGUCGUACGCACUGGCCCAACUGAUUGAUGGUGCUUGCACCUGAUUGACGAUGGAUCACCAGUGAGUGGCGGACGGGUGAGUAACACGUAGGUAACCUGCCCCGGAGCGGGGGAUAACAUUUGGAAACAGAUGCUAAUACCGCAUAACAACAAAAGCCACAUGGCUUUUGUUUAAAAGAUGGCUUUGGCUAUCACUCUGGGAUGGACCUGCGGUGCAUUAGCUAGUUGGUAAGGUAACGGCUUACCAAGGCGAUGAUGCAUAGCCGAGUUGAGAGACUGAUCGGCCACAAUGGAACUGAGACACGGUCCAUACUCC
RNAcentral lists this ribosomal RNA (367 nucleotides) under uncultured bacterium. Its description in RNAcentral is "bacterial SSU rRNA". It matches the Rfam family "Bacterial small subunit ribosomal RNA", at positions 9 to 339 of the family's 1533-position model. The record is from RNAcentral.